GGAGGCGUCACCGAUGGGAACUCUGGGGACAUGGGAGGGAGCACCAGAUGCUGGUCUCAGACCAAAGGAGCUCCUCUCCUGCAUGGCUAAUAGCUCUGUUUCUCUUUGGCUUGAGGACAGGUGGGAAGCCUGCAAGCUCGGGGGGCCCACGGGGAGCACAAGUCCACGUGGAGAAGCAACUCACUGGAGAGGCACAUCCACUCCACACCUCAUCACUGCAGCCUGGAGGGCGUUUUGUGAGAUUUAUUCAAACUGAAGCUCAUGUCCUCUGUGCAUGGCAAUUUCUGGAAUCUACCUGAUAAAACGUGUCCCUGGCGUACAAGGAGUUCCCUGAAGCCUCUUGUGGUAAUUCCAGUGGUGGCAGAAAAUAUUAGUUAUGCCUCCGGGAGAAAGAUCGCUGGCAGCCAUUGGCGGGGCACAACCCGGGGCCCACAUGCAGCUGGGAGCUGUGUGUGGGAGCUCUCCCAGCCUCAGGACAGCUGCGGGGGGCCAGGGGGCCCCCCGUCAGGGUCACGCAGCUCGAGAGGGACGGGCUGGGGCCCAGGCUGGAGCUCCCGUUCUCAUCUCUCAGGCUAUUUCUUCUCCUCGCUUCCACAAAUGAAAGUGCAGGGUGAUCCAGCAGCUACUGCUGCACAGGGCAGACCUCACUAACGAAUGACAGUGCUACCCCGCUGGGCCCUGGACAGCCUCAGAUGCGUCUCCGACAGGGAGCCCCAUGCAGCUGCGGAGAAUCCACUGGAGGAGCCCACAAGCAAAGCCUGUUUGCCACCCCCGACCCGAAAACAUGUGCAUAGAAAAUCCCAGACGCGUGCUUAGAUGCAAGCGUGCCUUUGCUCUGCUGGAAUGUGUUUUGAGAAGCCAGGGAGGAGCACCCAGCCGGAAAUGCUCCCAGUUGAGCCAGGGCUCUUCCCUCGACCUGAAAAUAAUCCCGGGGGCAGUGCCUCCCAGGGCUCAGGCCGUCAGAAGGUGGGUUCUGGGCCCUGGAUGGCCUGCACCUGCCGUCCUUCCAGGUGCCCUGUUGUGACCCAGCCUGUUGUGGGGACGGCAGAUACAUCGUGCCUGGGUGCCGGCGGCCACCCUGUUGGGGAGGGGCAGCUGGGGACGAGAGGUAGCUACUGGUCUGAGCAGCCUCGGAGAAGUGGGACUUCCAGGGAAAUAGGGCACAGCGCUCCAGCCCGGGACCUCUCUUCACUGACCUUGAACCUGUUGACCCCACUACAGAGCAAGGAGGGGGUGUGGGGAGGAGGUGGGCCACUUAGACUCCGACCAAACUGGUAUCUAAGUGAUUCCUUAUGGCUUUGGAGUCCGACCAACCUUGCGGGUUCAAGUGCAGUGCAGCCACCAGAGAACUGUGACCGGGGUCCCCGCCGGCCUAGACCCAGACCUCCUGGCCCCACCUACUCACUUCAUGGCCCCGGUGGGAGUCCCUUCAGCCUGGGCCUUAAUUUCCUCAUCUGCAGAUGGGCAUGCAAGAAGCCUCUGCCUCCCUUUUCCAGAGGGUGGUACCUGGCAAUGGGUGCUUGUGAGGAAGAUGGGGGUGCUGCACCCCCACCGUGUGGGGUGCAACGAUGAGCCGGCCGGACGGGGCCCUGCCCCAGGGAGCCCACUACAGUCUCCAGAGAGGAACAGAAGGAAAGGCGUAAGAGGGGCGCCUGCCUCCAUGGGUCGUAAGGAGGCUGCACUGCAGGGAGAGGGGGUCCAGUGCUGGGCAGACACCCCAGUCACCUCCCAGAAUGGGCAUGUCCGAGCCCGAGGACUCCGAAGGGAGGACAGAGGCGGGGGUAGAAACACAUGCUUAGAACUCCCUACCUUGGAUCUUCAGCGGGUUGUGGUAGUGAACUUCUAGACGGAGAUAUCUGGAAGACCCGGGGCCCCCAAAGGCAAGGCCUGCUUCCUCCGGGUAGUAAAAGGCCUGCGGGGGAUGGGUGGGGGGUGAGGAAUCAGACACAGGCAAACUGGUGUCUCACAAGGGGUUCCUCCCAGACGGGGCUUGGGGCAAACCCACCCAGCUGUUGGGGCCUGAGUUGUGGUGGCGGGUGUUGGCGGGGCAGCGGGAUUAGAAUGGUGCUCUCCCGCUGAUGGGCAGCUCACUACCAGCCCACCCGGAUAUCCUAUUCAACUCGAGGUCAGGGAGUAGGGGGAGCUGGUGUCCCGGGGGUGAGCCUACCCCCCAGGCCCUGCGCAUGGCCCUGCCUCGCCCUCCUCUGCAUCGGUGGAAGCCCUGUGGAUGCAGCCCGCGGAGGUCACAGCACCUGCCACCCACCCGCCAGGACCACCCGGUGCACCCUGUGCACAAACGCCCAAGUCCAGUGGGGAAGCAAGAUCAAUACUCACCAAGUACCUACGCUCAAAUUUUGCAUUUUUAUAGAACAGCCACAAAGGCUGGAAAAAGCCUCGUGGCCCAAGAGGGCUGGAAGAGAGACCGAGCUGGGGGUGGCGUUAUGUGGGCGGGGCCCUCUCCGGUGGCCUCACGAGCGCCCUCUGGAGCCCCCUGCUCGGAGGCCCUCAGAGGUGGGGGGACACAGGGUGGAGGAGUUGGGGCCCCCACGGCUCCGGGGAGGCGCAGGGCCCGCACCUUGGCACCCAGCGCCCAGGCGGCUAGCACGUGGCGGCAGUAAUUGAGAUGGUCAGGCUUCAUCUUGGAGUCGCAGGGCCCGCUGAACUGAGGGAAGCUCUCGAACUGGGCGGUGCACUGGAAGACCUCCAUGUGGUGGACCAGGGCUUCGUUGCCCUUGGUGACAAUGGGCUCGUACUGGGGGAGCGGGAGGGCACUGAGCCUGGGGCCACGGACACCUGCCUGCCCGCCAGCAGCGCCCCCCCCCCCGUGGGCCUCUACUUGCCCAUCUGUAAAAUGGGAGGGUUAAGGGAAGCAAUUUCCAGGGGCGCUUCUGGGGCCCAGGGCUUUGAAGGGGGAGCCACCAACCCGAAACCAGGCAGAAUCUGCCAGAAGCCCACAAAGAGCUCCAGAGUGAAGGGCAUAAGGAUCGCCGCAAGUCAUUUCCCGAUAAGGUGGGGACAGGAAGGUGUCCUCAUGUAAGCGUGGCCGUGGCCAGGCAAGGACACAGAGGCUGCCCUGAGGCCAAGCCUGAGCCAGUAGACCAGGCUGGCCACCCCUGUGUGACUUUGGGCACUCGCACAAUGUCUCUGGGCUGCACUUUCUGUGUUGAGCAUGCACCACUGUGGAGAUGGAGGGGGUCCCUGCCUCCCUGUCCCCCAGGGCCAGGAAGAGAGCUGUUGCCCUCACAUCGUAUCUCUGGGUGGGUGUUUAGAGCAAUUGAGCUGCCUUUUCAUGAAGGGGGAUGUGACCUGACAGAUAGACAGAGGCCCUUCUAGUCCCAGGGGAAGACGCAGAAAUCAAAACAUCAGUGUCCUUUGGUCCAGUCUGGGCAGUUGGGGGCACAGGUGCCCUGGGAGGCUGGGGGCUGAGCAGGUGACAGGGUGCCUGGGGUUCAGGCAAUGGGGGGACCCCUGGUGCAAGGGGUUCAUGAACCAUGAAUGGCUUUCCAGGACAAGGAUGUCUCCCCAGCGGCCUCUGAGGCCCCAGGAGGAAGCAGAGAUGGGCCCUGGGACCCUCCUCCCCCCCAGGUACCAUGACAAUGUGGUGCCGGGAGAAGCCAUCUGGAAGCUCGGUGAUGUAGCACCAGUAUGUGGUCUUCUGGCUGGGGAUCAGGAUGUCCGGGGUGUGGAUCUCCAUGGAGUGCAUGUCCGAGGGCAAGGCCGGGACGGAGAUGUUGG
Mirounga angustirostris (Northern elephant seal) is the source of this 3735-nucleotide long non-coding RNA. RefSeq lists it as uncharacterized. The record is from RefSeq and is a predicted model, not a curated record. Lineage: Eukaryota; Metazoa; Chordata; Mammalia; Carnivora; Phocidae. The transcript has 3 exons.